Ictidomys tridecemlineatus (thirteen-lined ground squirrel) is the source of this 73-nucleotide non-coding RNA. Lineage: Eukaryota; Metazoa; Chordata; Mammalia; Rodentia; Sciuridae. The record is from Rfam.
GGGGUUGUGGCUCAGCGGUAGAGCACUCGCCUCACACGUGCCAAGGCCCUGGGUUCGAUCCUCAGCACCACCU